UCUGGCUCCUUUCGGGGUCCGAGUUGUAAUUUGUAGAGGAUGCUUUUGGUGAGGUGCCGCCCGARUUCCCUGGAACGGGACGCCACAGAGGGUGAGAGCCCCGUCUGGCUGGCCACCGAGCCUCUGUAAAGCUCCUUCGACGAGUCGAGUAGUUUGGGAAUGCUGCUCAAAAUGGGAGGUAUAUGUCUUCUAAAGCUAAAUAUUGGCCAGAGACCGAUAGCGCACAAGUAGAGUGAUCGAAAGAUGAAAAGCACCUUGAAAAGAGGGUUAAAUAGUACGUGAAAUUGUUGAAAGGGAAGCGCUUGUGACCAGACUUGGGCGCGGCGGAUCAUCCGGGGUUCUCUCCGGUGCACUUCGCCGUGUCCAGGCCAGCAUCAGUUCGUCGCGGGGGAAAAAGGCUUCGGGAACGUGGCUCCUCCGGGAGUGUUAUAGCCCGUUGCAUAAUACCCUGCGGUGGACUGAGGACCGCGCAUCUGCAAGGAUGCUGGCGUAAUGGUCACCAGCGACCCGUCUUGAAACACGGACCAAGGAGUCGUCUUCGUAUGCGAGUGUUCGGGUGUCAAACCCCUACGCGUAAUGAAAGUGAACGCAGGUGAGAGC
RNAcentral lists this ribosomal RNA (600 nucleotides) under Trichoderma sp. Cornell 9. Its description in RNAcentral is "eukaryotic LSU rRNA". It matches the Rfam family "Eukaryotic large subunit ribosomal RNA", at positions 121 to 742 of the family's 3401-position model. The record is from RNAcentral. Lineage: Eukaryota; Fungi; Ascomycota; Sordariomycetes; Hypocreales; Hypocreaceae.